ACAUGCCUACAACUUAGUGUUAAUGCACCAGAUCCCAUUAUUAAUCCACAAUUAAGCACGCUCAGGCUAGAGUAGUACUAGGAUGGGUGACCACCCUAGAAUUCCUAAUAUUUUACAUGCC
Molecule: non-coding RNA, 121 nt
Organism: Picea glauca (white spruce)
Lineage: Eukaryota; Viridiplantae; Streptophyta; Pinopsida; Pinales; Pinaceae
Source: Rfam